GUUAUUGGGAAAUGGAGGGAAGAUUCAUCAAGAUACACACUAGAGGGAAAGAAGAAAUGAAGUGAAUGAAAGUAAACGAAAAAGAAUAAAAUGAAGGGAGACAUCAUAAGAGUCAGAAAAACAAAGUAGCCGUGUUGGAAAAAAUAAAUCUGAGCUAGUAUGGCUGCUGUCAGUGCUUGAAGAAUGUACAGCAGCUGCCAGUUAGACCACUGAUGAAAUGAAGACUCCUGAAGGCUCUUUGUACUGCAGCACUUGGCCAAAAAUAACCUGGCAUGCCACAGUUUCCCACAAACCCACAGAGAGAG
Mauremys mutica (yellowpond turtle) is the source of this 305-nucleotide long non-coding RNA. RefSeq lists it as uncharacterized. The record is from RefSeq and is a predicted model, not a curated record. Lineage: Eukaryota; Metazoa; Chordata; Testudines; Geoemydidae. The transcript has 3 exons.